GAUGAACGCUGGCGGCGUGCCUAACACAUGCAAGUCGAGCGAACGGACGAGAAGCUUGUUUCUUUGAUGUUAGCGGCGGACGGGUGAGUAACGCGUGGAUAACCUACCUAUCUGACUGGGAUAAUUUCGGGAAACCGGCGCUUAUACCGGAGAAUAUUUUGAACCGCAUGGUUCAAAAGUGAAUGACGGCCUUGCUGUCACGUAUAGCUGGAUCCGCGCUGCAUUAGCUAGUUGGUAAGGUCACGGCCUACCAAGGCAACGAUGCAUAGACGAACUGAGAGGGUGAUCGGCCACACUAGAACGGAGACAGGGUCCAUACUACUACGGGAGGCAGCAGUAGGGAAUCUUCGGCAAUGGGCGAAAGCCUGACAGAGCAAGCCCGCGUGAGUGAUGAAGGUCUUCGGAUCGUAAAGCUCUGUUAUUGGGUAAGAACAGAUGUGUAAGGAAAUGAGGCCAGCUUGACGGUACCUAAUCAAAAAGCCCCGGCUAACUACGUG
RNAcentral lists this ribosomal RNA (497 nucleotides) under uncultured bacterium. RNAcentral's name for it is "partial 16S ribosomal RNA". It matches the Rfam family "Bacterial small subunit ribosomal RNA", at positions 28 to 507 of the family's 1533-position model. The record is from RNAcentral.